AAUUCAAUUCUCUCAGCACCUUCAUCUGGUUUUCUUUUGACUAGGCUAGAAACUCUAAGAAGCUUGUAUGGUGCUACCUCUCCUGUUAUCUUGUUGAUUAAUAUUUUAGGAGGCCCCUCCAUAAUAGUGGCCUUGGCAACUUUCAAAGGACAAGAAGUAAAACAGUGCAGUCUGGAAGCAUGUGUGAACUCAUUACGUUGUUGAAAGAGGAAUUCAACAGUGCCAGAAAAUGAAUGCUGGUCUUUAUCAUCGGCAAGACACUAAGUGAG
This is a long non-coding RNA of Passer montanus (Eurasian tree sparrow), 269 nucleotides long. RefSeq lists it as uncharacterized. Lineage: Eukaryota; Metazoa; Chordata; Aves; Passeriformes; Passeridae. The record is from RefSeq and is a predicted model, not a curated record. The transcript is spliced from 3 exons.